This 214-nucleotide unclassified non-coding RNA is filed under the name Hevea brasiliensis (rubber tree). The record is from RNAcentral. Lineage: Eukaryota; Viridiplantae; Streptophyta; Magnoliopsida; Malpighiales; Euphorbiaceae.
GGCAGAGGAAGAAACCAUAGACAGUGUUUGGAGAGCCUUGACCAAUGAUGAAGUUGUAAAAUCCAUUGUUGCAAGUAGCAUUAGAAGAUAAAGAAGAAAGAACAAGAUUGAGAAUUUCUCUCUCGAAAAUCAACAAUUUUUUUUAUUUUGUAUUUUGGAUUUGUGUUUGUGAUGGCAAUAACAACUGCAGUAAAUUUUCACUGUUCCUUUUGCU